AUUGAACGCUGGCGGCAUGCUUUACACAUGCAAGUCGAACGGUAACAGGGUGCUUGCACCGCUGACGAGUGGCGAACGGGUGAGUAAUACAUCGGAAUGUACCCAGUAAUGGGGGAUAACGCUUCGAAAGGAGUGCUAAUACCGCAUACGCCCUGAGGGGGAAAGUGGGGGACCGCAAGGCCUCACGUUAUUGGAGCAGCCGAUGGCUGAUUAGCUAGUUGGUGAGGUAAAGGCUCACCAAGGCGACGAUCAGUAGGGGGUCUUAGAGGACGAUCCGCCACACUGGAACAGAGACACGGUCCAGACUCCUACGGGAGGCAGCAGUGGGGAAUCUUGGACAAUGGGCGAAAGCCUGAUCCAGCAAUGCCGCGUGCGUGAAGAAGGCCUUCGGGUUGUAAACUGCUUUUGUACGGAACGAAACGGCGAGCUCUAAUAAAGUUUGCUAAUGACGGUACCGUAAGAAUAAGCACCGGCUAACUACGUGCCAGCCGCCGCAGUAA
Molecule: ribosomal RNA, 500 nt
Filed under: uncultured bacterium
Lineage: Bacteria
Description: partial 16S ribosomal RNA
Rfam family: Bacterial small subunit ribosomal RNA
Source: RNAcentral